Molecule: ribosomal RNA, 533 nt
Filed under: Salmonella enterica subsp. enterica serovar Richmond
Lineage: Bacteria; Pseudomonadati; Pseudomonadota; Gammaproteobacteria; Enterobacterales; Enterobacteriaceae
Description: partial 23S ribosomal RNA
Rfam family: Bacterial large subunit ribosomal RNA
Source: RNAcentral
UAAGCCUGUGAAGGUGGCCUGUGAGGGUUGCUGGAGGUAUCAGAAGUGCGAAUGCUGACAUAAGUAACGAUAAAGCGGGUGAAAAGCCCGCUCGCCGGAAGACCAAGGGUUCCUGUCCAACGUUAAUCGGGGCAGGGUGAGUCGACCCCUAAGGCGAGGCCGAAAGGCGUAGUCGAUGGGAAACGGGUUAAUAUUCCCGUACUUGGUGUUACUGCGAAGGGGGGACGGAGAAGGCUAUGUUGGCCGGGCGACGGUUGUCCCGGUUUAAGCGUGUAGGUGUGUGUUCCAGGUAAAUCCGGUUCACUUUAACACUGAGGCGUGACGACGAGGCACUACGGUGCUGAAGCAACAAAUGCCCUGCUUCCAGGAAAAGCCUCUAAGCAUCAGGUAACAUCAAAUCGUACCCCAAACCGACACAGGUGGUCAGGUAGAGAAUACCAAGGCGCUUGAGAGAACUCGGGUGAAGGAACUAGGCAAAAUGGUGCCGUAACUUCGGGAGAAGGCACGCUGACAUGUAGGUGAAGUGAUUUACU